AACGUAGGAGGCAAGCGUUAUCCGGAGUUACUGGGCGUAAAGAGUGCGUAGGCGGAUUGAUAAGUGGGUGGUGAAAGCGCCCGGCUAAACCGGGCGAGGUCCAUUCAGACUGUCAGUCUAGAGGCGGAUAGAGGGGUGCGGAAUUCCAGGUGUAGCGGUGAAAUGCGUAGAUAUCUGGAGGAACACCGGUGGCGAAGGCGGCAUCCUGGACCGAUAUUGACGCUGAUGCGCGAAAGCCAGGGGAGCAAACGGG
Molecule: ribosomal RNA, 253 nt
Filed under: uncultured bacterium
Lineage: Bacteria
Description: partial 16S ribosomal RNA
Rfam family: Bacterial small subunit ribosomal RNA
Source: RNAcentral